CAGUCGCCGCGGUAAUACGGAGGGAGCUAGCGUUGUUCGGAAUUACUGGGCGUAAAGCGCGCGUAGGCGGUUACUCAAGUCAGAGGUGAAAGCCCGGGGCUCAACCCCGGAACUGCCUUUGAAACUAGGUGACUAGAAUCUUGGAGAGGUCAGUGGAAUUCCGAGUGUAGCGGUGAAAUGCGUAGAUAUUCGGAAGAACACCAGUGGCGAAGGCGGCUUACUGGCUCAUACUGGACGCUGAGGUGCGAAAGCGUGGGGAGCAAACAGGAUUAGAUACCCGUUUAGUCCCUGUCUCUUAUAC
RNAcentral lists this ribosomal RNA (301 nucleotides) under uncultured bacterium. RNAcentral describes it as "partial 16S ribosomal RNA". It matches the Rfam family "Bacterial small subunit ribosomal RNA", at positions 509 to 807 of the family's 1533-position model. The record is from RNAcentral.